UGAAGGAAGACAUUUGAGAUGAGAAGGUACCACAAAGUUUGACACAAAUUCGAAUUAGCAGUAUGUAAAGAGAGUAUUUAAUGCAUUUCCAUAAACAUUUCAAAUUGAAUUAUGUUAUCAAACAAGGAUCAAGGAAUUUGUUUCCAUUAAAUAUAUCUGUAUCCUCUCUAUUUUCCUUCCACUUAUUUUGAAAUGCCUGAGUGCUUUCACAUCUGAGAGCAAAAUUUAACCACCACAGACGUACUGCACUUCAAGAAGAAUUUAGAGUAUUCUGAAAUUAGAAUUGCUCUUUGUGGGCUAGAUAUAUGACCAGUAGUCUUAUUGAUGAUUAUCACUCAGCUUGUCGGAGUUACUGAGGGAGGCCUGCUAUACAAAUGCUCCUUUUGGAACUCUAGGGACGUGAAAGGAAAUUGUCACUACAGUAAAAUGUUGUAUACUUGUCAUGAAACAAGACUAAAUACACAACAUUGCCUUGGUAUUGUUUGGGCCAUUCCAUCCCAAAACCCGAGACACAAAAUUAGAAGUUUUUCUCUGUCUAAAGAAAAAAAUUAUAUACUUCGGUCUAGUCUUUACGGUACUAAUAUGAGACAAAGUCUAGAAAUUGAGGAUUGGGGAAAGUAUGCAGGAUGAUGGCGAUAUAUGAUCGGUUCGUGGUUUAUAGACCUGCAUUUAAUAGUUCUGGCAUAACUGGUGACCAGUGUUUAAGUGGCCACUGAGCCUUACAUUUUUACUUUUUAUUUCUGUGUUAAUAGAGAUUGGCUGGCAGCCUGAAAACCCAGGCCAGCCUAACGUAUACCUGUACUGUGAAUCCCUCCUCCCCACGAGCCAGCUUUCUUUUCUCCAAAUUAUGUCUUGUGUUUUCACUUGCAUAUUAUCAGAUUGAUAGCUACAUUUGCUGAUAUAUCAUGAAAUCCCAUGUAUAUGCAGCAAAGAGUAUGAAGAUAUCUCCAUAAAGGCGAAAUCAAGGUUUAACAUCUCUCUCCGAAGCCUCUCACAACCCAUGUCACUUAAGGAGAUAGCAAGGACUUGGGGUUUUUGUGCUCUUGCUGUUAUUAUAUUUGUGCUCGUGCUGUUAUUUCUGAGUAUGCACAGCAAAGAAGUGGAGGAAGUUUUAGCUCGAAAUAUGGGACUUGGGAGAACUGCUUGACUACAGCAUGAUGAUGCUUCAUAUUUGUUCGUCUCCAAUUAAAACUUUAUGGAUAUUGAAGAAGAUAUUCUUCUAUAUUUAUAUUUAACCUCACUCCUGGAACACUGGACAUGUAAAUAUAGGUUUUGUAACUCUCCUGUAAGUCGUAUGAAUGCGCAGAGACUCAAAUGCGCAGUACAUUUAUAAAUGUUUAUUUUUCUGAUUUGGUUUUUGACUGUUCUGGCGAAGUUAAGAGAAGUUGUAUGUUCUAUUUAGAAAUCUGAACAUAUAAAGCAGAAGUUUUUCACAGUUGAUUUCUAUUCUGUAGUUAAUUCUGGAAUGCAGUGUUCCAAGGGAGCUCAGUUAUGCCUUUUGACAAGGAGUGUAAAUAAAUAGAAUUAAGUGUCUAAAUAGACUUGGACAUCUUCUGGGGGAACGUACAUUUUGGCUCAAGUUCGACUUUAAUUUUUAAAUAAAGGAAUUUUGGAUUGAUUGUUUCAGUUGGGUCGAUUAAACGUUGGUGGUCACUAAAAUUUUGGUGGAAUUUUAUGUUGGUCAUUUGAUUUUAUUUAUUUAUUCUUUAAAUAGUCUGCAGAAGUAGUUAUCAAGUCAUUAGUAGUGAGGUUAAAUUGAAGUAAGACUCGAAUUCAGUUCGUUACCCUAGUAAAACUUUGCUUUUACCGUUAAGCAAGUCUUGACUUGAUCACUUUUACUUAUUGUUGAGAAGUUUGGAUACUUAAAUACAAUUUUAUUCUACUUAUAACAUUCUUAUCGUCAAAAUCAACUUCUAUACAAGCGAAUAGCGUUUUAAGAAAAGAAACGCUAUGUAACAUACUUGGACGCUCUUGAGUGCACAUAAAUUUUAACAAUACUCAAACACAAGUGCAAUCUUUUAAUUUGAAGUCGUCAAGGUAUAUUCUUUUCGGUAGUUUGAUGUAGACAUUGUAAAAUCGACAAGAUUCAAAAGUUGAAAAAUCGUAAUAAGUUGAGGGAUGUCAUUUUCAUAAACUGGAUUUUCUAUACCUAAAAAAAUUGAAAAAAAAGAUCCAUCCAAUUAAUAAAUGUUGACAAACACAGAGGAUGAAGCCAAUAAGAGCAAAUGUUUCUAAAUGCUCCUAUUAGAAGGUUUUAAAUAAAAUAAAAUAAAAUAAAUUAUAGAAAACCUUGAUGACCUUGGAUAUAUAACCAACUACUAAACAUAUGACUAGAUUACGAGGUAUCGAGAUGCUACGUUUUGGAAGGAGACAUUAAAGAAUGAAUAUUUGGCAACAAGAACUUGGAACAUAUCUCAUGAUUUAGCCUCCCUUUGAUUCCCAUUCCUUGGCCACAAAAAUAAAAAAUAUGACCGUUAUCCAUCAUAUCAAGCCACCAUAUUUGACUUUCUAUUUUUUGUGUGGGUACCAUAACGAAUAUAUUUUUCAUUCUCAUUUUUAGAAAAUUGAAAAUCAAACACUCAAGUAAUUUUUUUUCUCCAUAUUCGAAAGAUUAUAAGUAUUAUCAACUUCUUCAUUACUCAUUUUUAUUUAUUUAUAAUUUAAAUUGUUUAUAAAUACUUCCACUCUUCAUAGGAGAGUUCUUGACAGUAGCAUACUCCUUUCAAUUGUCAAAUAGACAAUGAAAUGAUUCUUUUUUGCAGAUUCCAUUCUGAAUUUCACACAAAAUUUGAGUCAAAAUUGCCACAUAGGUUUUGACAUCAACAUGAUACAUGCAACCUUUUUUAAGAAUAUAAAUGCAAACCACAAAUUUAUAAGUAGGCUGGACACUACAUUUAGCUCCUAUUUGAUAGAAAUUAAAAUUAAAAUUUUAACAUAGUUAAAGUCGGUAACUCAUUUUAAUUAUAUAUUUAUGAGAUCUACGAAUUUUCAAGCACACAUUUCAUCGACUUUUAUAAAAAUCUACUAAAAAAAUAUGAUUUUAAUCCCCACAAAAUAAGGACUUAAUGUAGCUAGGCAGGUAGUGCCAUAAGCUAGCAUCAGUGGCAGAAUCAGACAUCUUUCAUUGCAGGAUCAAAAGUGAGUUACGUUUUUUCUGAAAAUCAAACCUUAACUAGCUUGGUUUUGAGGUAUUGCUAUCUUCUCCAUUAGGUUCCAAAGAAAACAUAGAGGACUCAUUCAAACUAUUGAAGGCAAAUGUGUGCCCGCCAAUGACCACAUGUCGGAAAAGUUUAAAAAAAAAUUAAAAGAAAAUCAAAAAAUUCUGUGGGUUAGUGUCCCCACAUGAACCCAUGUGGAUCUGCCACUAGCUAGCACACAUGCCAAAUUUAAGCAUCUCCAGCCCUUGGGGCAUUUUUGGCUAAAUUGGCAUGAAAAUGCUCUUCAAUCUUAGAACAUGUUGUGGUUGAUCGACUAUUUGAAAGAGGGGUCGCCUGACCUCUUUGGAGGUGGUGGGUCGACUGCCUUCUAGCAGGGACCGUUGUUGGGUUCAAUUGGGUUGACGUCCCAUUUCAUUCCUAUGUAAUUUAAACAGGCGUGAUUUCAAAAAUACGCUUGAUGAUCUUUAUUGAUAUUAAAAUAUGGCGUAUCAAACAAAAAUUAUGAUGUGUUGUAUCAAAUUAUACUAAUAUAAAUGUCCUAACAAGCACUAAGCCCUUUUGUUUAAGCCACAGUAUUUUCAUAAGAAUGUAUUUUUGAAUAGUGUAUUGAUGGGAAAUAUCUGGUUAAAAUAUAAAGGAAAAUUUUGAAUUUGCGUGUAAUAUUAUUUUAUUGAAGAAUGUAUAGUUAAAAUAAUGUCAAAUUACUAUUUAAGAAUAUAUAUAGUUUUUGAAAGAAGGUGGAUCAAAUAGGACUUUGUGUUAAAUACUUGAUUUAAUGUCAUGAUACAAUGUUGCAAACCUUAAACAUGCAAUAAUAAAUACAGAGUUGUAUUAAUGAACAACUAUUUUUUGCAUAGUUGUACGAGUAUGACAUUAAUUUACAACAAAAAAAUUUCAAUUUAAAAAUUAAAAUAAGUGUAGAAUGAUUUAAUAUUCAAUAACCAAUAAAGUAUUUCUUUGGUUUAAUCAAUUUAUUUUUUUAAUCAGAAUUUUUUUGAAUAUAAAAUUAAAUUCCAGCAAUUUGGUUUAAAUCUUUAUAUGUUUAUUGUACAGAUUGCGAAGAUGGGUACACAGAAAGUAGUAUUGAUAUCAACAUCCAUAGAUAUAAGUUGGAUUGCGGUGGUAAUGGAAGGAUUGUCCCUAUAAAGGAAACGCAUGAAAAUGUUAUAGAAAUAGAAAGAAGAGAAUUGUAAGAGGAGAAUAAGUGCUCAAUGUAAUUGAUGUACCCAAAAUCAUAUCCAUAGGAUCCCAUUUAUAGAUGUCGAAGGGUGCAGAUGAAGUAGUGUGGGCCAAAAUAUGCAUCAUUUCGAGAAGUUGUAACACUUGGUCAAAACCUACAUCCUUUCGAAAAGUUACAACACUUCAUUUCUUCCAAUUUUGGACCACAGUUUCUCAUUUAUCCAGAAUUGAUUUUAAAAUUUCAAAUAUACCACGACGAUCUACUCGACGAGUAGAAUAAGUUAGUCUAUUUACUUUUGUAAUUUGACCAUUGGAGCAAGUAUGAUAUUUGGUUGAAAUUGACACGAACUCACACAUUUUCAUUUUCCACUUUUACACUUAUCCAAUUUUGGAUUUUUUUUUGAACCAAUUCCAACACUGUGUUGCACUAGAAAUUAUCAAUAGAUUGAUUGUAUAAUUGUGUUAGCAUUUAUGUUACGAUACAUUUAGUUGCAUAUGGCAUGUUUGUUAGGAUAGAAUAGAUCUUAUUGAACACUAUACUAAAAAGGGAGAAGUUAAAGUCACUUUAAUCGUUCCGCAUUGAAAUAAUAUGCGCCCAACAUCUACAUAAUUAAUUAUUUGGGGAAAUUCGAGUUGGGGCUUGAACCUUCAAUAUGUGCCUAUGAAAAAGUGUGUGAUCGAAAGGAUAUUGAAGGAAAAGGGUUAAUUUGACUAUUAAAAAGGAAGUCGUUAUUUCCAUCAAAAGGUAAAACAUUUUACUACGUAUACCAAGACUUUUAGCCCCGAGUUUCAUUUUUCUCAAUUUUUUUGUUCUUCAACCUUUGUAAAUUGGAUUAGUUUCUUAUAGCAUAUUUAAUUGUGUUUUUUUGUUAAAUAUUUUAGGUAAAGAUGAAUGUAGAGGUGGAAGCUGGUCCAUCCCGAAAGGCAGCCGCUGUUAGAGGCGCCAAAAAGUUGGGGGCUACAUGGAUUAUACUUGACAGGUUAAGAAACAACACACAACUUUAUAGCAUUUCAUAAUCUUGAUCAAUUUUCAGCAAUAAUAUAUCAUUUGUAACGGUGCUUAAAAGUUACUUUUUUUUUUUCAAGAAGUUUAAGAAAGGAAAUCACGUUUCUCAAAAUUAGCAACUUGAAAAUGAGUUUACUUACUUUUAAACACAUUGAAAAGACCCUAUUCUGAAAACGGAGAUACCCAUAUUAAUAGCAAGUCCGAUCUACAAAAUGAGAUUUAAGAUAGAAAAGCAUACGCAUUACAAAGAUGUCCUCUAUUGACUUACAUUGCAUCAAGAAAGAUAUUUAAAACUUGGUGAAGUAUAUAUAUAUUUUACAAUUUUGGGGUUGAGUUAAAGGAUUUUAUUUAAGGCUUAUUUGACACAACUUUUGCUUUUACUUUCUAUAGAAGAGCUCUUGGAGGAAACCAACUUAAUUUUUAUUUGGAAACUAAUUUUUAAAAUAGCAAUGUUUAAUUGGUAAAAACAUUGUUACAUGUACACUAUGGUGUACACUUUAGUUUACCCUUUGUCACGUGAUAUUACCCUAUUGGACAGUUUAAAUUUAAAAGAGUUUUCCCUUCCAAUUGACACAUGACUACAAUGCAAGUGUCAAACAACGUGUCAAAAAUUAGUAUACAAAUAGCGAAGUUCAAUCGGUGAGAACCUUGCGACAAGUACACUAUGGUUUAUACUUUAGUUUAUACUUUGCCACGUGUCAUUGUCCUGUUGAACAGUUUAAAUUUCAAACAGUUUUCCCACCCAAUUGACACUUGACAAAAAUGCAAGUGUCAAAAAAUGUAUCAAAAGUCCAUGUAAAAUAGCAAAGUUCAAUGGGUAAGAAUCUUGCGACAUGAACCUUAUGGUGUACACUUUAGUUUACACUUUGCCACGUGACAUUAUCCUGUUGGACAGUUUAAAUUUCAAACCAUUUUUCCAUCCCAUUGACACUUGACAAUAAUACAAGUGUCAAACAACGUGUCAAAACUCAGUGUACAAAUAGCGAAGUUUAAUUGGUAAUUGCUACAUGUACACUACGGUGUACACUUUAGUUUAUACUUUACCACAUGACGUUAUCCUGUUGGACAGUUCGAAUUUCAAACAUUUUUCCUAUCCAAUUGACACUUGACAAAAACGUAAGUGUCAAACAACGUGUCAAAAAUCAGUGUACAAAUAGUGAAGUUCAAUCGGUAGGAACCUUGCUACAUGUACACGAUGGUGUACACAUUUUAGUUUACACUUUGCCAUGUGACAUCAUCCUAUUGGAUAGUUUAAAUUUAAAACAGUUUUUCCAUCUAAUUGACACUUGACAAAAAUGGAAGUGUCAAACAAUGUGUCAAAAAUAAGUGUACAAAUAGCGAAGUUCAAUUGGUAGGAACCUUGCGACAAGCUCUUUUAACUACGAGAAAUACUUUCACAAAAUUAGUCAAACUGGUCCAAAAGCCAUGCCAAAAGGACCCCAAGUGUCCCAUUUCAUUAGUAAGUCUCUUUAAAGUAUUCAUUAAAAUCAUACUCAUAGAUGAAAUAUUUUGCAAAAGAGUUACUUUCCUCGUGAGGAAAUAUGGGUAAAAGAUUUGUCUUACAUUGCAGGGAGUUGAAGAAAGACAAGCAAUACUUUAUGGACAGGCUCUUGUGUGGCAUAUCGAGUAUGAAGAGUAACAACACCGUUGUAGAGGUCAGAGGUCCAAUUCGAAAACAUGUUUCAUAUGAUGAAAUGAUACCAUCAUACUCGUGGGAAGAACUUUCUCCUUCACAACAGAGCAAGUAUGUUUAUCCAGAGGUCCAAUUCGAGAACAUGGAUCAUUUGAUGAAAAUAUACCAUCAUACUCGAGGGAUAAAUAUUCGAGUAAGUAACUUCAUUUUUACCACUAGUCUUCAAUGGGCAUUUCUGUUUCUUUGUUUUUCGACAUAGCUGAAUUUUUUUAACUGAAAUAUGGUAUGCUAUGCUACAAGUGAAUAUUUGCGACAAGAAUUAAAUCAUAAUUUUAGGACGACUGAUUCACUUGUACUGAACUGACACAACUUCUACUUGUCUGCACAUAUAUGCAUUUUCCAAGUCUCCAAGCAUCCUCCUUCAUCGUCUUUCGUCCACGAUGCCUUUCCCUUUGAAGGAGAAAGGAGAGAGAAUGAUUACUAUUUACAUCCACGUAUUAAUACAUGGUAUUGUAGAAUCUCCAGCAACUCAAAAGGCUAGCUCAUUCAAAGAACAAGCUCAUAACAGAUGCAGUAGGCACUUUCUUGAUAAUUCCAAAGUAUUAGCCUCGACUGCUGGUAUUAUAGAGACAAGACAGUCUGCAGUGGAUAUUCAGGAGAGAGAGAGAACAUUAUGACGACCAAACAAGUAGCUGAAGAAAACUCUAAUAGUCGUACACUCAAAUAUAAGGGCCAAAAUGAAGUACGUAGUAUAAAAUAUAUUAAACGAGAGCAAAAGAAACAGAACAAUGGGGAAGGUAAUGAAACUAAGACAAACAAGAGAGGAAUUUGAAAGUACUUGUUCAGUUUGUAGAAACAAGCGACCUAAGCUUGCUAUGCAAAGGGACUUCACUUUUGAAGAGCUUUAUGACGCUACAGGGGGGUUCUCAGAUGAAAAUUUCAUAUCAGAAGGGGGAUUUGGUUUUGUAUUUAAAGGAGUGUUGGAAAAUGGACUAAAAAUAGCUGUUAAGCAGCACAAAGCUGCCAGUCUUCAAGGAGAGAGAGAAUUCAAAUCUGAAGUUCAUGUACUUAGCCAUGCAAGACAUCAAAAUUUAGUCAUGCUACUGGGCUCUUGUUCAAAAGGAAGCCAGAGGUUACUUGUUUCUGAAUAUGUCUGCAAUGGCUCACUGGAAGAACUCUUGUCAGGUAAAAAGUGUUUUAACUGCUACUGUUUCUGUUCUCUUUUUGCACACAACAGAUUUUUCAGGAGGCUCCACUAUAGUUUACAGGAAAAAUGCUCUAAUUUGAACCAGAAAAUCAGAACUUUUAGGAUUAUAUUUAUCCAAUGUACAGGUAACAGUAAGAGGCCUCUCAACUGGGAAAAGAGAAUAAAAAUAGCACUGGGAGCUGCCAAAGGCUUAGAGUGUCUGCACGCCCGCAACAUCGUCCACAGAGAUAUGAGACCAAGCAACAUUCUCAUUACGCAUGACCAUGAGUCACGGGUACGAUUUGGAGUUCAGUAAAAAUUUACAUUUCAAUCAAUUCAAGGGAAACCGAUCCUGUCAAGUUCUGAUGGUUCUGCUCUAGUAACAUGAAUUGAAAUUCCCGGUGGUUUGCUCUGGAGAUAUAUAGCCCGUUGUGCUAAAAUUCCAAAUAACAUUAUUAAUCUUCUAUAAUUCGGAACAGGAUGCAUAAAUUGUGGGUUAACCAUGCCGGGAUAAUGUCGAUUAUUUUCAUACUCACUAUAAAACAAUCCUUUUCAUCCAAAUAGUGAAUUUUUCUUUAACAGCUGGGAGAUUUUGGUCUUGCAAAAGCACAAGAAGAUGAUUCUGUUACCUCAUAUAGUGGCAUGGUUGGCACUCUUGGGUACAUGGCACAGGAAUAUGCAGAACAUGGAAAAAUGUCGACAAAGACAGAUGUCUAUUCAUUUGGAAUGGUUAUGUUGCAGCUUAUCACUGGACUAAGGACAACGGAUAAGAUUCCUGAGGGGAAAAGUCUCGUUGGAUGGGUACAUCUUUUUCAUGGAAUUAAUUUUUCUGUUACUUUAUAGAAAUGUUGGAUAAUUCUUAUAAGCUAGGGAUUAUAACCUUUUAAAAUUCUCAUUUGAGAUUAUACUUCUGACAGGCAAAACCACUUCUGGAAUCAAAAAACUAUCCAGACCUCAUUGAUAAAAGAAUUGCAAACUCCCAUGACGUCCACCAACUUCUCUGGAUGGUGCGAGUUGCUGAAUCUUGUCUGAAAAAGGAUCCAAAUGUAAGGUGUACAAUGGAACAGGUAUGUUAAUCAAUUUUUAAACAUUUCUACUGGAAUAUCAUAAACACUUCAUCCAAGGCGCAAAAUUCUGAAGAUCAAGUGCUACUCCAGUUUCAUAAAAUAUAAUACGCCUUUUAUCUAUUUCAUUUUGAUGAAAGUAUCACAAAUUCACCUCCAUUGACUUGUCAUUGCCUCCAACAAUGUUAUACAACGUACUGCUGUUUGGAAGCCAAACCGUUUAUUCACAUUCCAUCAGAACUAUAGUUCUCCAUAAAAAACAAUAAUACUCGAAUAAAAUUGAUAAAGUUUGUGGGAGUAAAGAGUUUAGGAGUCUUCUUGAAAGUAAAACUCCCAUAACUACUGUCUGGUCUAUAUCCAUGCUAAAUUACUUUACAUGAUCAUUUCUAUUCAAUGUCAUCAGUUCUAACUGAUUCUUGAAUUGUAUAUAUACUAAAGAUUUAUAGGAGUUAGAUAAUCAGCAAAAUUAUUGAUGAUGCUUACAAUCAAUCAAUUCCGAUUACCUGACCUGUAUUAAUAACAUUGACAACUUGGAUCAUGUCUUUGUUAAUGUUUAGGCCGAUGAUUGAAGAAUAAAAGAAAAAAAGAUGGUCUCUUCUUGUAUUUGUUCUUGGGAAGACGAGUGCAAAUUGGAGCAAAUAAAAGUGAUAGGUUUGUCUGAAGUUCUGAUAAUAUUUGAAAGAUCAUAAAUUUGAGAUUAAUCUAGGAUUGGUGAUUGAAUCAGCUAUGUUCUCAUUUCUUUUACCCUUUUUUUUCCCUUCUAGAGUGAAGGUUCUAAAAAUGGUCCCAGUUUCAUCUACCCCUGCCCUUUUCUUGAUAAGAAAGAAAAUUCGACAUUAGAUCUCCUCUACUAGUACUUACCUCAGUCAUUAACCCAUCUCGUCCUUCAUUCCCUUCAUGUUUUGUCCACUAACUCCAUCAUUAUGAAUGUUAAUUCAAAUAAGUUAGAUUCAAAAGAACCAGAUGAAUCCACAAAAAAUCUAUAUGCUGCCUACACCUCUACAUAUAUGAGAUUCUAUGUAAGAAAAUUUUGGCUCUUUUUCUAUCUAUUGCAAAAAUUUCCGUUCUAAGUAAAUCGCAAUGCUCAAGUUGGCUUACAAAGUUGAUCACGCUACGAUUGAAUCCUCAAAUAUUAUCGGUCUGUGAUGUAAUGAGCUAGAUUUUUCUGAUAUAAACUCUGUAAUAAAUGAGACAUGAGGUUUAUCAAAGACACAGGACUACGCUAGUUGGUAGUGCCUGGCUGGUCCGACUUUUUAAUAAAUCUUAAUGAUAAUAAAUUGGCAUAUCUGAAGAACUCGUUUGAGAGGCAAAACUUGUUUUGAUAUCCAGUGAGAUUAUCGGAAACAUGGUGAAGUGAUUGUUAAACUUUGUGUGUUUUUUUUUUUCUUUUUUUUUUUAAUACUAAUAUGAAGUGAGCUUGGUGAAGACCCUGGGGCUGUAGCCUUAAAAUCUAUUAUGACAGGGACAAACUGACAUUUACAUCCUUAUUCGACGCUCUUCCUAUUAGCUGUAUGAUGUCAUCUGAACAUUAAGAUAUAAUUUUGAAAGGAGUGUAAUGAAAUAUUUAACCAAUGAAAAUUUGUAGUUCAUUGAUUAUUAAGGUGAAGAAGAAUGGAACUUAUGAAAAAACAUACAUGGUAGAACUAUAGCUGUAGAAUAAGAUCCUAACAGAAAUGCAUAUAUUGUCUCGUAUAGUUGGGGAUUAUGUUACAUCCCAAAGUUCCUAUAAGAAUAGGAAACGUUCUUGUUGACGAUACAAAUUGAAUGAAACGAUUUUAUCAAUGAAAUAAUUACAAUCGAAUAUCAAUGCAAAUACAAUCAACAAAUCCUCUCAUCUAAUUAUGAGUUUCACCUCCUAAAUUCACUAGUCUAUAUGAUUCAACUAGAGCAAGAGGAAAAAUGGCCAUGUGAGAGAGAAAUAUUUGAAUUGCAUGCCCUCUUCUUCAAAUGAGGGAAGUAUUUAUCGAUUUCCUUUAAAGCUUUGUCGUAGUUUAGUCAUUCCUACUUUGUGCCAGGUGAUGGCUCCUUGUUGACUAUCUUCUAACUGAUUUGGUUAUGAAUCACACUUUAUCCAUUUGCCCCAUGCGCUCUUUAUAAAGAGCCUGAAGCCAGCUUGUUUAUGGUAUAUGGUUUUUUGCUUUAUGUGAACCUUCUGUUUCUUUCUUCCCUUCACGCCUUGCCUUUCAUCCCGCUAAGGACUUGAUGGGUUCACGUACUUUAUUUCGAGGGUUAAUAGUUUUAGUACAAGAAAAAUCUUGGUAGAAAGUCGACGGUAAUCCCCGCAGCAUGGCACAGUGGUGAAGCAGAAGGAUUCUCCACGGAGCAUCGUAGGUUCGAAUCCGCACGGUAGCUGGAAAGCAACAUUUAUGUUAGAAGGCAAAUUUCUUGUGGAGGCAAAGGUAUGUGCGCUCUGUCGUCCCUCUAGAGGUCUGUCCACACGUCGCAAAGGGAGGUCUACAUGGAGGAGAGCUGCAUCCCGAAUGUCCGGCCCAAGGUGUCGAAGCUGGGACCGCAUCUUAAUUUAUCCGGGUGGCGAAUUAGGGGAGAGGCCGCCACUCAAGAUUAGUCGGGCGAAUCUCGGACAUCCGAGUCACUAAAGGAAAAGAAAAGAACAGUUGACGGUAAUCCUACAAAUAUUCCCAGUAAACCGUUAGAUUCAAGGAUUGAUAUGAUUACAGAAUCCUCAUGGUUUCUCAUGAAUAAAAAAUGACAUAACUUAUCAAAUUAACAUUUCCAUCACUAUAAGCAUCAAAUGGUAUAUGUUCCUGAACAUCUUGACAGAACAUGGUGGGAGCAAUGACUAUAUACUGCUAGUUUGACCUUUAAAAUUAAUUGCCAGUUAAAUAAUUUAUAUUCUUUCUAUGUUUACACAGGUAGUUCAUGAUUUGAGCUGCAUAGGUGAAGACAACACAAACUUUAUUCGACACUUCUUUCCAACAGACAUGGAUUCCGACUCUGAGAUUAGUAUAAUUGACUCCCAUGUACCAGAGGAUGAAUCAAAAUAAAAUGAAUACAACUUGAAAAGUGUUCGUUUCAGUUGAACAGUCUGCCAAAAUCUGCUUCAAGAGAUAAUGGGUUCUUGUGGCAAGGGAAAAAGCUUCACAUUUUUCUAAUUUGUAUUCAAGCUUUCAACACACUGGUUUAUUUUCUUUCCUUUUUUGAGUAUUGACUGUGUUGGUUCUGUAAUGAGAAGGUUGGAUUUUAUUGUCAUUUAUUUAUUUUUCUAAUUUAGUGUUGUAAAUUGUGUAUAUAAAAACUUGAUUUUCACAUAUUAAUGCUAACUUAUAAUCUUGCAAUUGCUAAAACUAUUGAAUAAUAAAUUUUGAGAAGAUGGUGAUCGAAUAGGUAGAAGGUCGAAUUUUCAGUGCAUAUCAUUCUUCUAGAAGGGAUAAUCCUUGUGAGGAUUUAUGAUCUUGUGUUAUUACUUAAUUCUUUAUCUCGAGAUUAUUUCUAAUAAUUUUUUUUGUUGUUGGAAGAAUUUCACUAUUUUUGUGGGACUCCAAGAAGAAAUAGGAUAUGAUUUCACAAAGUAUUUUGGAAAAGAGUAAUGCUAUUCGUAGUCGCUCACUGCGAUAGUCGUCCUACGUGGCAUACACAUGAUAGAUGAUUAUUUGAUGUAUUAAUGUGGUAGUUUUUUUAUUCAUUAAUGUGUCAAAUAACCACUUGCCAUGUGUAUGCCCCGUAGGGCGACUGCCGCAGUGAGCGACUACAAAUAGCAUUAUUCUUUGGAAAAUAAUAGCAUAAAAGCAAAUAAGUAAACAUGGGAGAUUUGAAACUUAAAACUUUUGAGAAAGUUUGUCAAUAACCAAGUAACAUUUUUUUUAAUGGUUUACAAAACAAGUUAAAAGCAAAUUUGACUUACUUUUAAUACCUCCAAAAUAAUUAUUGCUUUCCUCACCUGUCAUUAUAUUUUUCAUUGGGUUUUCGAUUUUGACUGCAAUCCGAUGGUAUAAGUUGCUCAAUAUUUGGAAGAUUUUUUCAUUUUUAAACAGCAAAAGCUAGUUCGUACAUUCAUUUUUUCAUUUAUUUAUAUUUUUUUAAAAUCUUGGAAUCCUUGCUUUGUGGAGUUCUUUACAAGUAAUUUUCGACAAUCUUAUUUUAAACGAAUUGUACUUCAAAUUAUCACAAUUAACUCACACGAGACCUUCAAUCAAGUCAAUCUUAAAUGAAAAAAAGAUAAAGAUAAAACUAAUCAAGCACACAAAAAAUUUAGAAAUUAUUAUCAUGCUUCUAAGCUGAAUCAAUUCAUUUCAAAAUAAAAUAAAAUAGAAAUUUUACGUCGCAAUCUUGUCUAGGGGUUAAAUGCACCAGCAACAAUGAACAUUGUAUUUCCCAAGAUAUUUUUAAUUGGUCAUUGAACUUUAAAAUGUUUGGAGCAACCACUGAAUUCAUCAAUAAUUUUGUUUUCAACCGUUAAAAAUUAGACAAAAUGACGAGGGAAUAUGAUAUGACUCAGGAGUCGAGCCCGAUGAGGGUAAGUGCGAGACGAGACCCGUUGAUAGUCGAUGGCGGACCAAUGACGCGAUCAAGGGCAAAGCAAGUGAAACAAGCAAUAGGAUUGCUCGUUCAAGAAACCAUUGAUGGAACCAUGUUCGGGACUCAAAAUGGAGCAACUUUCAUGUUCGGGUCGAAAGUCGAAUCAUUUUGGAUCAAUUUAAUAUCGAAGGCCGAAGACAGAAAAAAAUGAUAAGCCUAUGCGACCGCAUAGGCUUAUGAGGCUUGCGGUCGCAGGGAGGCUUACCGAAACUCAAAGGGGGAAACUUACUUGAACUAUGGGACCGCAUAGAAAUGAACGUCGCGGUCGCAUAGGCCAAAAAUAUUGGCGAGUUUUCUAAUUUUGAUAAUUUUUCAUAUUUUGUUAGUUUUUUAUUCUUUUCCAUAUUUUAGGGAUUAUGAUCGACUUUUGCACGAUUUUUACCUAGUUUUUAGGUUUAGUAUAAAUAGGAGUUUUCAUUCAAUUGCAAAAACCUUUGACAUAUUUGAUAUUGAAUUAAAAGUGAGGCGUAUUGUCUUCUCUUCAUCGUUCUUCAUUGAACAACUUCGAACUUAUCAAGUGUUAACUUGUGGCGUUCAAACAAUCAGAUUUAAUUCUUGGAUUACGUGAUUAAGGGGUCUUUCAAGUGUCGCUCUUGUUGAGUUUUUUGGUUCUACUUUCUUUGUGGUUAAUCCUAAACUCUUGCAUUAAUUUGGCUUUCUUGAGUUCGUCAAUCUUGUUGUGGGUUUCGUAGUCAACGUUGCUACGGGGUUCGCAUCAGUUGGUAUCAAAGUUUUUGCUCCAAAUUAAUCGAAGGUUAUAUCUUUUUUUUUAUUUGUCUGAGUCGUUAAUUUUGGUUUUUUUAGUUUCUUCUUCAAUUUUAAUUGUUCUUUCUUAGUUCCUCUUCGUUCUUGUUUUUCUUUUCGUCGUUGAGUUGAGUUGUUGGUAGUUUAAUCAUCUUCUUUCAUCGAGGAGUAAAAAAAAAAAGAGUUACUGUACAUUCAAGGUACUGUUCAUCUCGAAGUACUGUUCACAAACAAAAAAAAUUGAUAUUACUAUUGUUUAAUUUUGUUUUUCUACCAACAACAAUUCUUACAUUGUGUUUGACUUUGGGAUAUUCAAUUAGGUUCGAUUCUUUCAAUCUUCUAUUGAGUCUAUUCACAUAUUUUUGUCAAAACAUUCAUCUAUUCCACUUAUUCAAGUCCUUUGUGUCUCGUGGUCUUCGAUUAAUAUUCGGUUUGUUUGAAUUCCCGGUAAAAUAAUUGAUUUAGUUCACUUGGUUCUUUGAAGUGCUUGGAGGGCGACUUUGAGUGGUAAAAGGCCGAGUGGUGAGUUUAAUAGAGGAAAAAAGCCAUAAUGAGUGUUUUCCGAGUGAGAUCUUUGUCAGGUAUAAAAAAAUUUUGUGAUAUGAUGUCGGAAAGAGAAGGUUCUAAUUCAAGCCGAAAUGGUAAUGAGAACAAUGCAUCGGAUGACAUGAUAAGGAGGUUUGAAAGGAUACUUGGUGAUGUUAAGGAGAAGGUGGAUAGGCAAGGGGAAUGGAUGGCGCAAAUAGGUACUACAAUUGCUAAUUUUAGCUAGGGGCAAGUAGAGAUGUCUAAUGCUAGGGGGUCGGGUAGGCGUGAAUCUAGGAGAGGAAGGCGAGAUGAGUAUCGUAGUGAUGAGGAUGAUUUUGAUGAAAAUGACUUUGAUAUGAGUCGAGCGAGGCAUAGAGGCGAUAGGAUGGAAAGAUGGGGUAGAAAUAACUUGGGAGAUGAAGUAGAUGGAAAUUUGGGGAGUAUUAAAAUGACUAUUCCGCAAUUUAAGGGGAGAAGCGAUCCGGAAGCAUAUUUAGAGUGGGAUAGGAGUUGAGAUGAUUUUUGAGUGCUAUAAUUAUUCGGAGGAGAAACAUGUAAAAUUGGCGGUGCUUGAAUUUGUGGAUUACGCGAUAUCUUGGUGGGAUCAAGUACUUACAUCACGGCGUAGGGGUCGGGAAAGAUCAAUUAUCACUUGGGAUGAAUUGAAGGUGUUGAUGAGAAGGAGGUUUGUUACGAGUCACUAUUAUAGGGAAAUCCAUCAAAAAUUGCAAACUUUGUACCAAGGAUCGAAAAGCGUAGAAGAUUAUCACAAAGAGAUGGAGAUUCUUAUGAUUCGGGCUAAUGUGGAGGAAGAUCGAGAAGCUACCAUGACACGGUUCUUGAAUGGGUUAAAUCGGGAUAUUCCAAACAUUGUAGAGUUGCAACACUAUGUGGAAAUCAAGGACAUAUUACAUGUGGCAAUGAAGGUCGAGAGGCAAUUGAAGAGGAAGGGGACAUCUAGGGAACCGUUAGGUACUUCGACUCCUAAUCCAACAUGGAAAUCGAAGUGGGAUGACAACAACAAAAACGGGGCUGCACUUAGAGGCAAAAAUGAUUGGCAAAAGGGUAAGGAUGAAAAUGCUAGCAAACCAAUAUCAAAAUCGGAGGCACAACCGUCGCGCAAUCGGGACAUCAAAUGUUUUAGGUAUUUGGGAACGGGGCAUAUUAUUUCUCAGUGCCCAAACAAACGGGCAAUGGUGUUGCGGGAUAAUGGAGAGAUUGUGAGCGAUAGUGAUGGCGAAUUUGAUGACAUGUCGGCAUUGGAGGAUGUUAAUAAAGAAGAAAAAGUUGAAGGGCCGGUUCGGGAUCUUCUAGUCACAAGGCGAGCUCUCACUACUCACGUCAAAGCGGAUGACUUGGAGUUGCAACGGGAGAACAUUUUCCACACUCCAUACCACGUUAACAAUACGGUAUGUAGUGUUAUAAUUGAUGGUGGUUGUUGCACUAAUGUAGCUAGUGUAUCUCUUGUAGAAAAAAAGGGUUUAACAUUGUUGAAACACCCUUGACCUUAUAAAUUGCAAUGGUUGAAUGAGAGUUGCGAGCUGAGGGUGAAUCGAAGGGUGUUACUUAAUCUGUCGAUUGAGAGUUAUAAGGACGAGUUACUGUGUGAUGUGGUGCCAAUGCAAGCGCGACAUAUUUUAUUAGGAUGACCAUGGUAAUACGAUAGGAAGGCUAUGCAUGAUGGGUACAAAAAUCGAUAUAAUUUCAUUAAGGAUGGAAGGACCAUUACUCUUGUGUCAUUAACACCGACGUAAGUCUAUGAGGACCAGUUAAAAUUGAGAAGUGAGGAAGAGAGGAGAGCAAAAGAGUUUGAAAAAAAGAGAGCAAAUAGUGAGUUGGAGAAAAGAGAGAAAAUGUUGAGAUAGCCAUUAGAGAGAAAAAGAGAGAGCAAUCACAAGAGAGAAAAUAAAGAGAGUGCCCCGAGAGAAGAGAGAAAACACGAGCGAAUUUCUUUGCAAAGAAGAGUGAUUUGAGGAGGGCGGUAGUUGAGAGAAAAGAGAUGAUCUUUUUCAUUUAUAAGGAAUCACUCCUUAAUUUUGAGGAAACUAACCCACCCCUCUCUAGUUUGGCUAAGUAUUUGUUGUAGGAAUUCGACUAUGUAUUUUCGGAGGAUGCACCAAGUGAAUUGCCUCCUAUUCGAGGCAUUGAAUAUCAAAUUGACUUCAUACCCGCAGCUGUCAUUCCAAAUCGACCGGCUUAUCGAAGUAAUCCUGAGAAGACUAAAGAGCUUCAAAGGCAAGUGGAGGAAUUAAUGAGCAAAUGAUACGUGAGGGAAAGCAUGAGUCCUUGUGCGGUACCUAUUUUGUUUGUGCCAAAAAAGGAUGGAACAUGGCGAAUGUGCGUGCAUUGUAGGGCUAUCAACAACAUAGCGGUAAAGUAUCAUCACCCUAUAUCUAGGUUAGAUGACAUGCUUGAUGAAUUGCAUGGUGCUUGCAUAUUUUCUAAAAUUGAUUUAAAAAAUGGGUAUCAUCAAAUUCGUAUGCGGAAGGGUGAUGAAUGGAAAACAGCUUUUAAAACUAAAUAUGGUUUAUAUGAAUGACUGGUUAUGCCGUUUGGACUCACAAAUGCACCUAGCACUUUUAUGCGCUUAAUGAAUUAUGUUUUAAUAGCCUUUAUAGGAAAAUUUGUUGUAGUUUAUUUUGACGACAUCUUAAUCUAUAGCAAAGACCUAGGAGAGCAUUUGGAACAUUUAAAAUAUGUACUAAUUGUUUAAAAGAAAGAACAACUCUAUGCUAAUAUUAAGAAAUGCACGUUUUGUAUGGAUAGAGUUAUAUUUCUUGCUUUUGUGGUUAGUGCUAAUGAGGUAGAAGUAGACGAUGAAAAGAUAAAAGCUAUUAGAGAUUGGCCGACACCUAAAAGCGUAACGAAAGUUAGGAGUUUUCAUGGUUUGGCUAGUUUUUAUAGGCGAUUUAUGAAAUAUUUUAGCACUAUCACCACACCACUCAUGGAAGUAGCUAAAAAGAGUGUAGGUUUUUAUUGGGGUGAUGAACAGGAACUUGCAUUUAAUACUAUUAAAGGUAGAUUGUGUGAAGCACCUGUUUUGACAUUAUCUAACUUUGAUAAAACAUUCGAGAUUGAGUGUGAUGCAAUCAGGAAUAGGGAUUGGAGCAGUUUUAAUGCAGGAUUGAAGGCCUAUUGCAUACUUUAGCGAGAAUUUGAGUGGAGUUGCUUUAAAUUAUCCUACAUAUGACAAAGAACUUUAUGCACUUGUUCGAGCUUUGGAGACUUGACAACAAUAUCUAUGGCCGAAGGAGUUCGUAAUACACACCGAUCAUUAGUUACUAAAGCACCUGCGGGGACAAGGUAAAUUGAACAAGAGGCAUGCCCGGUGGAUGGAAUUCAUUGAGACCUUUCCAUAUGUCAUUCGGUAUAAACAAGGUAAGGAAAAUAUGGUGGCGGAUGCGUUGUCGCGUAGGUACGUAUUGCUAACUACUCUUGAUUCUAAGCUACUUGGGUUUGAACAUAUUAAAGAAUUGUAUGAAAAAGAUGUCGAUUUUUGGAUAUUUAUUUGUCAUGCAUAAAAGGGGCGGUUGAUAGGUUCUUUAGGUAUGGGGGAUAUUUAUUUCGGGAAAAUAGGUUAUGUGUUCCUAAUUGUUCUAUUCGGGAGUUGUUAGUAAAGGAGGCACAUAGUGGUAGAUUGAUGGGACACGUUGGGGUUGAAAAGACUUUAGAUGUAUUGAAGGAGCAUUUUUAUUGGCCUAAGAUGAAAAGUGAUGUUGAACGAAUUUGUAGUCGAUGCAUAGGUUGUGAAAAGGCUAAAUCUAAGGUUUUACCACAAGGUUUGUACACACCUUUACCUACACCUAGUGAGCCUUGGGUUGAUAUCUCGAUGGACUUUGUUUUGGGUUUACCUAGGACUAAGAGAGGUCGGGAUUCUAUUUUUGUGGUUGUAGAUAGGUUCAACAAAAUGGCACAUUUUAUACCCUGUCACAAAACUGACGAUGCCAUGAACAUUGCCGACUUAUUCUUUAAAAAUAUUGUGCGUUUACAUGGAGUUCCUAGAAGUAUAGUGUCGGAUCGGGAUGUUAAAUUUUUGAGUCACUUUUGGAGAGUUUUGUGGGGGUAAGUUAGGCACUAAGUUACUAUUUUUCACAACUUGUCACCCACAAACGGAUGGACAAACGCAGGUAGUGAAUAGGACUAUGACACAAUUAUUACGCACAGUAAUCAAUAAAAAUUUGAAGAGUUGGGAGGAGUGUCUACCAUUUGUUGAAUUUGCAUACAAUCGAGCUGCUCACUCUACUAUGUCAUAUUCUCCAUUUGAAAUUGUAUAUGGUUUUAAUCCACUAACUCCUUUAGAUUUAAUUUCCUUACCUGUGAAUGAACGUGGUAGUUUAGAUGACAAAAAAAGGCGGAAUUGGUUAAGUCACUCCAUGAAAAGGUAAAAGCGCAAAUUGAAAACAAAAGUAAGUUGGUUGCGUCGCAGGCGAACAAAGGUAGGAAGCGUGUGACAUUCGACCCAGGAGAUUGGAUUUGGAUGCACUUUAGGAAGGAGUGAUUUUCGGAGCAAAGGAAGUCCAAGUUGCAACCGAGGGGCGAUGGUCCAUUUUAAGUUAUUGAAAAGAUAAACGAUAAUGCAUACAAGUUGGACUUUCCAGGUGAGUAUAAUGUUUCGGCUACUUUUAAUGUAUCUGAUCUCUCUUUGUUUGAUGCAGGUUCAGAUUCGAGGACGAAUCCUUUUUGAAGUGGGAGGGGAUGAUAUGACCCGGGAAUCGAACCCAACGAGGAUAAGUGCGAGAUGAGACCCGUUGAUAGUUGAUGACAGACCAAUGAUGCGAUCAAGGGCAAAGUCAGCGAAACAAGUGAUAGGAUUGCUCGUUCAUGAAACCAUUGAUGGAACCAUAUUCGGGACUCAAAAUGGAGCAACUUUCAUGUUCGGGUCGAAGGCCGAAUCAAUUUGGAUCAAUUUAAUAUCGAAAGCCGAAGACGAAGGAAAAUGAUAAGUUUAUGCGACCGCAUAGGCUUAUGAGGCUUGUGGUCGCAUGGAGGCUUACCAAAACUCAAAGGGAGAAACUUACUUGAACAAUGCGACCGCAUAGAAAUGAACGUCGCGGUCGCAUAGGUCAAAAAUAUUGGCGAAUUUUCUAAUUUUGGCAAUUUUCCAUAUUUUGUUAGUUUUUUUAUUCUUUUCCAUAUUUUUGGGAUUAUUAUCGACUUUUGCACGAUUUUUACCUAGUUUUUAAGUUUAGUAUAAAUAGGAAUUUCAUUCAAUUCUAAAAACCUUUGACAUAUUUGAUAUUGAAUUAAAAGUGAGGCGUAUUGUCUUCUUUUCAUCGUUCUUCAUUGAACAACUUUGAACUUAUCAAGUGUUAAUUUGUGGCGUUCAAACAAUCGGAUUUAAUUAUUGGAUUGCUUGAUCAAAGGGUCUUUCAAGUGUCGUUCUUGUUGGAUUUUUUUGUUCGACUUUAUUUGGGGUUAAUCCUAAACUCUUGGAUUAAUUUGGCUUGUUUGGGUUCGUCAAUCUCGGUGUGAGUUUCGUAAUCAACGUUGUUACGGGAUUCGCAUAAGAAUAUUUACACGUUGCACUUUUAAAUGUUAAUUUUCAUUUCAUCAAAGUUAAAUAACUAGUCAGAAAUGUUNNNNNNNNNNNNNNNNNNNNNNNNNNNNNNNNNNNNNNNNNNNNNNNNNNNNNNNNNNNNNNNNNNNNNNNNNNNNNNNNNNNNNNNNNNNNNNNNNNNNUUUUUGUUUUUCCAUGUAUCCUGUCUUGAAUGCCUUUUGAAUGAUUUAACUAACAAAGACAAACAAUGGCUGUCCUUUCCAUUUAAAAAAAAAGAAAAAAAGAAAAAGCUAGUUGGUUAGCCAACUACACGCUUUGCUUUGGAUAACCUAAACCUAACAAUGCCACCACUCUCCCAGUUCCCCUGUGAAAGGGACAAAUAUCUUUAGUGUUAACCCCCACCAAACUCUUCUUGGGGAUGAAGUUAUGGAAUAUNAAUAAGGGUCAUUUAUAUUGAAAGCUCAACCAAACAUGGUUUUUAGAGCCGGAAGCUCGAAGGUCAAGAAGUUUCGUUCUAAAGCUUGAAUCUUUAAGUCAACGGGAUAAUUCUAGUGUUCUGCUUUGAUAAGGGCAUUUCUAAUAUUUUAUUACAUUUGGAUAACUAAUGUAGCCGUGAUCUACAUGCAAAUAGAUAAUUCGUUUAUUACAUAUCGUGGUUCUUGAUUUUAAAUUCGAACAAAUGACGUGCAACUUUUGAAAAAAAGGCACUCGACCACCGCUUGACUAUGUCUCUCGGUGUUCCGAAAUCAACACUAUAUUUCCACAACUCUCAAGUAUAUGUGAUGUGAAAUCUCAUCAUGAUUGAGAUGUAUUUAAUGCAUGCUAACAAAAUAGGUAAAUUUAUAUGAUAUGGUGAAAAAUCCAAGACGAAGGAAUAGGUCCCAUUAAAAUGUAUUUCAAAAGCGCCACAUAUUUUACAUGCAUUAAAUACGUUGAUAAUGAUAGGCUACUAAACCACACAAAAUGAGUUGCUAAAAAAAACAGAUCAACAAAAAAGAAGUAAUAUAAGGGCACGUGUAACAAAAUUUUUUGCACAAGUUUCAAAAGAAUUAAAAAUUAUUAAUCCGAAAAGAUCGCUUAGAUUUAAGAAAACGUUGCUUGGAUUUAUCCAUGGUUUUUUUGUGUUUUUUUUUGUUUAGUUUAUUUCUUAUCCCAAGGCCUUUUUCGAAUAAACCAAUUCAUUUGGGACCCUGCAAAUCCGCACCAACUAGUUAGGAAAUCACAUUGACAUCAGCUUUCUCUAAACCUCGAGGAAAAGCAUGAAAAAAAAAGGCUUGAAUGGUACGAUCCCUCCGUCGCCUCAGAAUAUCAUGUAAAGAUAUAUCUUUCACUCCAAUAGUUAUAUGACAAGUACUUUUUUUAUCGGACAACUACGUCCUGAUUUGAAUGAUCCUAUAUUAAGAGCUAAAUUGGCUAAAGGUAUGAAUCAUGUGUGGUCAAAAUAAAAAUUUAACCAAUUUUUAAUAAAAUUUAAUCUAAAAAAGCGCUACUUUUGUAGACCUUGUUUGGCUUCAAUAAAAAGUUAUAUAUUAAAAUUUAAGCGAAAACUAACAAUUAGUUUUGAUUAGAUAUUUAGCCCCUGUUUGGCCCCCAUUUUGUAGAAAUGAAAUGGGUGGAAUAAUUUUUUUUUUAAAUAAUGAGUUAUUGAAAAAGAACGAAAAUUUUUCGAUUUAGGUGUAAUAUUAUUUUAUGACAUAUUGUAUGAGAAAAAUACGAAAGAGAAAAAUUGAAUGAAAAUUAACGGGGGCCAAACGGGGACUUAAUGAACCACAAAUUUUUUACUAUACAUUUAAUCAUUUUUUUAUUAUUAUCAAAAUUUACUUGUUUUGUGGGAAUUAAAAUCAAUCUUUUUGAUAUACUUUAAUAAUUGUUGAUGAAAUGUGUAAUUGAAAGGUUGUAGGUCUAAUAAAAUAUAUAGUUAAAAUUAAUUAUUAACUUUGACUUAAAUUAAAAUUUUAAUUUUAAUUUUCAUCAAAUAUGGAUUACAAAUUUAAAAUUUUUACCUUAAUCAAAUAUGGGCGUAAUGUUUGGCCUUCAUUUUUUCAAAACUCAUUUUCAACUACACAUUUUUUAUAAAAUAAUUUCAUACUUAAAUUGAAAGGUUUUCUUAAUUUUUAACCAUACAUCUCCAACUAUUAUAAAAUGGGAGCUCAAACAAAGGCUAACACACAAAGAAAAAUUAUCGUAAACACGUGUAAAGUGAGUCAUCGAGUAUUAAUUCAAAUCAUUCUACAGUAACAUAAUAUUUGACAUGAUGUCAAAUGACAUCAUAUUGUUGGACUCUUUAAAACAUAGUCAACUUUUCCAAUCAAUCAUAUAUUGUCAACAUUCAUUCUUUUAAAGCACACGUUAACAUUUUUCUGUCAAGGUCACUUUACCUGUAUUAACCCAAGUGACUCAAGUUUUCUUCAUAAGACUGUGGGCCACAAGCAAAAUUUGGUUGGCACGCUAUUGAAAUGGGUUCCAUAUGACCGUUGGAUGGAUCAUCGAUCUAGAGUUUAAAAAAUAAUUUUAUCCAAAUUUAGCCUAUAUUUUGAUGGACAUUAUUCGUAGAAAAUAAUAUUUUAAAUAGUGAUUUAAAAAAUAUAUAUAUAUUUAAAUAUGUGGUUAAAAAUGAGUAUGAUAAUUAAAAAAAUUUGUUUUAAAUAGAAGCAAACAGGGACUAUUAUUGAUAUUUCUCAUUUACCAAUUCACAUUUAUAUUAAAACUCUAAAAUAAGUUAAUGAAAUGGAAUUAAAUUCAGAAAACACAAAAAUAAAUUGAAAAAUAUAUUUUUUUAAAUUCAUUUUCAACCAUACAUUUUCCCAUAAAAUAAUGUUACACGUAAAUCAAAAUUUUAAAUAAUAUUACACGUAAAUCAAAAAUUUUCUUAUUUUUUUAACCAUAUAUUUUCUAAAAAAUUACUAUUUUAAAAUAUAUUUUUUUCAAAAAAUUUAUUUUGAUGGAGCCCAGACAGGGGCAAAGUUUUCUAUUUUUUCAAAUUGUAGGUAGAUGAUUACAAUUUACUUAAAUCUAUGAUGACUAAAUACCUGCACUUGAACAUUGUACAUCUAAACACGACACGUAUUUAACUGUUUAUUAUCCAUUUAAAGAGUGUAGGAGUUUGGGUGUACCAUUUUUAUUUUUAUUUUUUUGAAAAAAUAGUGAUCCAAAUAAUGAAUUUUUUGAGAAUGUGUGUUUAAAAAAUAGAGAAAUUUUUUUAGUUUAUGUGUAGAAUAUUGUAUUGUAUGAACAUGUGGUUGAAAAUGAGUAUGUCAAAAAAAUGAAUUUUGAAAUAAUGAAAGACGAAACAUGGGUUUAAUUUAAGACAUCCUAUAGCAAAAAUUCGAUAAUACAAUUGAAAAUAUACUAAUUUAUUCUUUACCAUUAAAUCUGCUUCAUCAAGACAUCAACUUAGCAUUUGUUUGGCUCUCAUUUUUUAAAAUUGGGCAAUUAGUACAAAACUUCCGUACUUUUCAUUUUUAGACAUUUUUAUCUUUAUUUUCACCUUUCAUUACAAAAAAAGUCAUUUUCAUCCAAUUUCUUAAUAAUAAAUGUAAAAUGAUAAAUAUGCCCUAUUACUUAAAUAAAACAAAAAAAAUUGAAGAGAAAAGAAAAACUAAAGAACAAAUUGUAAUUAUAUUCCCACAUUUAGAAAAAUUGCAAAUAAGUCCAAAUAAAUUAUUAAAAGAGUAACUAGCAAAAAAAUCCAUAACUUUCAAUAUCAUUGUGUAAAACGUCCUUACUUUUUAUUUUUUGGUAUUUUCAACCUUAUUUUCAUUGGGAAAAUCAUCUUAAAAAUUAAAAAAUCAUUUUCUUUUUUAUUAUUUAUUUGUAAUUUAUUUGUAAUUUUUUUAAAAAAAUUAGGAAUAUAGUUGCAAUUAUUUAUUUAAUUAUUCUAUUUAUUUUUGUUUUAUUUGAAUAGAAAAGUAUAUUCGUCAUUUUGCAGUUUUUAAUUUAGAAAAUAGAUGGAAAUGAUGAAUUUCGCAAUGAAAUGUGAAAAUAAAGGAGAAAGUGCUAAAAAAAAAUUUAAAAAUGUAAGGACGUUUUGCAUAAUAAUAUUAAAAGACAUGGACGUUUUGUUCUAAUCAUCAUUUUAAUAAUUUAUUUGGAUUCAUUUGCAAUUUUUUUUAAAUGUUUAGAAGUAUAAUUGCAAUUUAUUCUUUAAUUUUUCUUUUCUUUUUUUAUUUUAUCUAAAUAGGGGGAUAUAUUUAUUAUUUUGCAUUUUUUAUUGAGAAAUUGAAUGAAAAUGACAUUUUCCGCAAUGAAAUGUGAUAAUAGGAGGAAAAAUGUUAAAAAAAUAAAAGAUAAGAACGUUUUAAACAAUAACAUUAAAAGGUAAGAAAGUUUAUUACUAACCACCCUUCUAAAAUUCAUUAUUUUCUUGAAAUCAUUUUUAAGUGUGCAUUUGAUGGAACCUACAACUUUUAUAAAUUUUUCAAUCAUCAUUUGAUUUUUUUUUAUUUAUCAAAAUUUACUAAAGAUAUGAAUUUUAACUAAACCAAACAAGAACUUAAGAGUAUUGCCGAGUACUUGAUUCUAUUUAAUUCCAUCAAUUUAGACUCGAGUUGUAGCAAUUUUUAAUUAUUCUUGGUUGCUCACUCGAGAAGGCAUUUAAGAGAAUCAAUUUAAAGUAAAAGUAAAAUUAUAUCGUUAAGCUCAUAAAUCGAGAAGUUUAGUUAAAUAUUCCAAAUUGGCGAACUUUUGUUCGCCAAUUUUAGAUGGAGGGGAAUAUUUACAUACGUUUUUUAGAAGAAUUUUUUUAAUGCCAAAAAGUCCUUAGAAUAGGGAUGAUGUGGACCUGCGUAGAUUGGGCUACGCAGGUUCGGGUCAGCCCAAACCACAAAUGCUACCCGACCCAAUUCUCUCCCUCUGCCCCCGAAUAUGCUCCCUAUUACCCUAUCUAUAUAUAGAGGAGGCGAUUGCCAAUUGUUAUAAUAGGUUCUUAGGUUUUGGCCGAAGACUCGAGUUCAUUCACAAUCAUUGAUUUCUCUUAGUCAUACAUACGUUUUUUAAAAGAAUUCUUUUAAUACCACAAAGUCUUCGCCAAUUUUCUUCCCCUUCCAUUGCAACUCAAGGCUUUUUCUUCAAGUAUUUUCUUUUUUUUUUUAUCUUUUGCUCUCAAAGGAAAAAGAAAAAUCAAAUCUUGUAACUUACGUAGUAAUUGAAAGCUUAGCAGUUUUUGAUUAGGUAAAAUCUUAUGGAUGGCAAUAAUUGGAGGGCGAACUCGGGUCAAGCGCAUGUCCCGGGUCAGGUUAUGGGCGGUGAAGCUCCGGUAGCUCCGGGUAUGGAUGCCGGUGAUUGGAGGACUCAGCUACCAGCUGAUUCCAGGCAGAGGAUUGUAAACAAGAUGUACAUAAAUGCUUUUACUUCAUAUUUUAUUUUUUAUCUUUUAGGGUAGAAAUUGUUAUUCUUUCCGAUUAUGCUGAAUACUUAUCAGUUAGAUUUUAUUUACUGUAAUCUUGUAUUUAUUGAAUUUUUUGUGAGUAAGGAAGUAACAUCUUGAUGCUUCACCUGCAUAGAAUGGAAACUUUGAAGAGGCAUCUUCCUGUCUCUGGACAUGAGGGACUGCAGGAACUCAAGAAAAUAGCCGUAAGAUUUGAGGAAAAAACUUAUGCUAGUGCUACAAGUCAGGUAUAUCUGUCACAAAACUCUUGAUUUGUGCUGCCUGCGUCUCAAACUAUAAAAUUCUCACAUGCAUUCGAUUUUUAUUUAUGUUGAGGCAUAGCACAAUGAGUUUUAUUUUUUGACUCUAUUCUCAAUUCUAAUCUUUCGUUUAAUGAUGUGUUCCUCCAGUCAGAUUACUUGAGAAAGAUAUCUUUGAAGAUGCUGACAAUGGAGACAAAAACACAGAAUCCUGUGCCCAUUUCUCUUCAGUCCAAUGUUCCAAGUAAUAGCAAAAAUCCUCAAGAUCCAGGUAAUGAAAAUUCAUGUACUUAAAUGGUGCACAUGACAAAUAGGUUUCUCGUGCUUGUAAACAACUAGUUCUUUUUAUUCUUUACUUUUACUAGAUGCAAGGAGUUUUGCCCUGUCUCUUUGUUCUGAGAUACUCGAUAAUUUCACUAGAAUUUGCUUGCGUUAUUGACCUUAGAAACUUCUUUGUAUGAUUGAACACUUCCACUAGGUUAUCCCUUAUAGAAUUAGACCAGCAAUGUAACAUAACCAAUUGAUACUUUCGUGGCACUGUUUUUGCUAAGUAAGAUACUAGUGCAGUACAUUGGUUUAUAUAGCUUGAAGUCUUUCAGGUUUGCUCUUCUUCUCAAGCUCGAAAGACUUCUUACUUUCGUCUUUAACCAUAAGGUUUGAAAGUUGUAAAACUAUAAUUUGACUGGAAUUGUGCUAAAACUGGUUCGAUGACUGGCACCUCUUCUUCCUUCUAUUUGUAUUCACAGGCUCUUGAGUUUUUCAGCACUUCCAACUCCUUGCAUGAGAUUUUACCAACUGAAACCGUAGAAGUGUGACCUUCAUAAAAUUAAAUUAUUUAAUCCCUUCUCGUUCUCGACCAAAUCUUCCAUGUGGAGUUCUAUUCGUUAUUUUAGUAGCAGAAGCCUUUUGGAUCUCUUGAUGACUCGUGAUCUUAUUUUGAUAUAGUCAAUUAAUAUGAGACCAGUGUAUUCCACAUAGCUUUAUUCUUCAUAAUAUCGAAAUCAAUCAAAACGCACCUCGAUUUCUGAAGUUCUUGUUCAUGCACUCUACAAUCAGCCAUAGGAGCCAGAAGCCCAUCCUAGAAAUUUAUGCAAUCCACUAUUCAUCUGAAUCUUUAGAAGUCCAUUGAUUUCAAGCUUUUCCAGUGCCUGAAUUGCCUGUAAGUGCCACUAUGCAUCUGCCUAUUGUUGUAUUCCUAUGAAUCUCUAAAACUAGUUUUCAAGCUCGUCCAUUGCCUGAUUUGCCUUUAAAUACAACCUUCUGUGCUGCCCAAUUUGAGGAAGAGUGUUUCCAUAGUUCCAUCUUUAUCUGCUUUCAGUUUUUCUCUACUCACGUUAUUAUUUUGUGCUUAUGCCUUUUGUCUUAAUCAUAUAUGACGUGUUUUCCUCUUGGUGGCAGAAUGAGUGAAUCUAUAUUGGGGAUAUUUCAAGACGUUGCCUUUAAAUACAACCUUCUGUGCUGCCCAAUUUGAGGAAGAGUGUUUCCAUAGUUCCAUCUUUAUCUGCUUUCAGUUCUUCUCUACUCACGUUAUUAUUUUGUGCUUAUGCCUUUUGUCUUAAUCAUAUAAAACACUUUUCCUGUUGGUGGCAGAAUGAGUGAAUCUAUAUUGGGGAUAUUUCAAGACAGUCUUGUUUCUAAUGAACUGAUUUUAUUUUUGUUAUUAUUAUUUUAUUUUUGACGUCCAGUUGCCUUUGCAUUUGUCACCAUGAGCCUUUUCCUUUAUUCUUUCACUUAUUACACUCAUUCCAUAACAUGGUCUUUAUAUUUGUGUUUUUGCAUGUAUUUUAACAGCUUCUCAAAGCAUGCAAGCCCAAAUACCAAGUCAGGGGCAGCCACUACCGAUUCCAAUGGCAAAUAAUCGAUCUCAAUCGCGACAACAGUUGUUAUCCCAAAAUAUCCAGAAUAAUAUUCCAUCAACUGGAGUGCCAAAUUCUGCUAGUUUGACAUCUGUACUUCCCACUGUUGGUGGCAUGUCUCAGGCUACCAUGCCUAAUGUUGUUGGCCAGAAUCCCAAAGUGCAGAACUUACAAAACAUAUCUAGUGUAACUCCAAAUGUAGUGGGAAAUUCCAUGGGGCAAGGAGUGCCAUCCAAUAUGUUUGCCAAUACCCAGAGAUCAAAUCAAGGAAGGCAACAAUCGGUUGUGCCCCAAGAACAACAACAACAGUCUCAGAAUUCACAACAAUAUCUUUACAGUCAGCAGUUCCAACAACACCUUAUGAAUCAAAAAUUCCAGCAGGGAAAUAUCUCACAAUCCCUUAUGCAGUCUCAAAUCCAGCAACAGCAGCAACAGAAUUUAUUGCAACCAACUCAGAUCCAAUCGUCUCAGCAAGCUGUUAUGCAACCUUCUUUGAGGCAGUCAGCCACUUCAUCUGGUCUUCUGCAAAAUCAGCAGUCAUCUAUUCAGCAAUCAACUCAAUCUAUGCUUCAGCAACAAUCACAAUCAGUCCUCAGGCAACAGCCGCAACCGUCUUCCCUCACUCAUCAGCAACAAACAUCAAUGCCACAGCACCCAAUAUUACCUACACAACAGCAACAGCAGCUUAGUGGGAAUCAGCCAAAUGCAACAAGCAUGCAACAGAACCAGCUAAUUGGGCAACAAAAUAACAUUCUUGAUGCACAGCAUCAGCAGCAACAGCAACAGCAACAGCAAAGGAUGAUGAGCCAGCAGAAUAAUCAUUCCAACCUGCAACAGCAGCAGACAAUUGGUCAACAAAACAUUUCUAACAUACAUCAACAGCAGUCAAUUGCUCAGCAGAAUAGCCUCCCAAACUUGCAUCAGCAGCAGUUAGGUCCUCAAACUAAUGUUUCUGGGUUCCAGCAGCAGCAAAUGGUUGGAAUUCAAUCUGGUAACUCUGGCUUGCAGAACAACCAGCAAUCUGUUCAUAUGUUACAGCCAUCUAAAGUUGCAGUACAGCAACAAAUGCAGCAGAAUGUGGGAAACUUGCUGCCUAACCAAGCUCAACAGUCACAGUCUCAGCCACCACAGCAGCAAAUGAUGUUACAGAUCCAAUCACAACCAGGCCAGCUGCAACAACAAUUGGGUUUGCAACAACAUACAAAUUCGUUACAAAGAGACAUGCACCAAAGGAUUCAAACAUCAGGUCCUUUGCUUCAACAACAUAGUGCUCUUGAUCAACAGAAGCAUCUGGCGCAUUCUCAAAGUGCAAUUCCAGAGGCACCAUUAUGUGAGUUUCUGAUGUUCAAAUCUAACCUAUCUAUUCUUGGUUGCUUGAAAUGAAUUUCCUUCUCUCUUGUUAUUCUGAUAUCUGAACUAUGCCAUUAAGAUGUUCAUUAUUUCUGAUAAAAUUCUUUUCCAUUUUAGCCUAUCUGUAAUCACUUGGCUAUAGUAUCAUAUAUAUUCUUGUUCAUCCUUGUUAGUGUUCAAUUUUUAUUUCAUGGUUUGGGUGCGAAUGCGUACUUAAUACACUGACAAUCUUGGCGUUACUAUACUUUGUAUAUUGGUUUGUCAAGAUGCAGUGACUCUGAUUAUACAUCUUUCUAAAUUUCACUAUGGUCUUUGUUAAGUGAAUUAAUUGAAGUUGUGGAAUGACUUGAAAUUUGGCAGAAGAUAUUGCACAUGUAUCAAGUUGAUUUGGAAUUGCACUUGAAAUGAGUACAUAAAGAUUUUAAUCCUGAAAGCAGGAAUUUUUCGUUCCAUUUAUCACCGGGCAUAGUUUAUCCACUAAUGCAUUUUUGGGUUUUAUGAAGGAUGUUUUAGCUACUUAUAAGUCAGAAUCUUACAUUACUAGUGAGGGAUGGAAUUCAAAGAGUUUUUGACUAUCUGCUAUAAACUCUACAGUUUGGGGUCCAUUUAUGUUUUGUCCCAUGACUCUUUGUCUCUCGGUGUAUCUAUCUCUGCCCCCUCAUCUCCCUCUCUCUCUCCCUAAAUGGUUUGCUGAAAAAUGCGUAAAGUUUUGAAGUAUAUAUUAUCAACACUUUAAGAAGUCUUUUUUGGAAAAAUCUAGCACAGGGAGAUAGAUCCCCCCCCCCCCAAUGUUUGUGUGUAUGCAUGCAUCCGGCUUCACCUUUGAAAUCCAAAUUCUUUCUCUUAUAUUUCAAGAUGGAACUCUCAACUCUUGUUUCGGUCACAUUGUCAGAUGGAGCUGCCUGGUCUAUGGAGUAUGGAUUAACUUAUGUCUUUGUUCCUUGCGCUUGAUCUCUGAUUUAUUUAUGUGAAAAGUAUAGCAUGGUGUACCAAAAAGAAAAGCUCAUUAGGUAUAGUCGAUUGAACACUGUAAACACCAACACGGUUGUUUGUUGCGUUAGGAGCUAAAAUUUAAGACUUUUUGGUUAUAUCAUUUUUGUUCAAUCUAAAAGUGGGGAAACUAAAUCUUCUAUCUUGUGGAAUUUUUCUUGCUAUUGUCAAAUUUCAACGAGUGAUUCUCCUGCAAAAGUUGCUCUGCUUUAUCUGAAUGUUGGAAUGAUGAAUGCAAGAAAAAAAAUAGAAGAAAAAAACCAUGAAAAUCACAGAAGUAAUGUUCUUUUUCUUUUUUCCCUGCUAUGCGGUUAAGUGGAAGGGAGGUGGAUAUGGCUUGAUCCCAAGACCUCCAACUUUACCUUGACUAUUGAACAUUUCUAAUAUUGAGGGAUUAUAUGAUCUUGAGAUUUCCAUGCUUACUAUUUUGAUUAGAUCAUGGUGUGUAGCUUAUAAUGUAAUUGUGUGUGUGGUGAAAAGGUUUUUCAAUCACUUUUUUCCCCGUAAGAAUUCAUAAAGUUUUAACUUGAUUUUCAUGCUUUAACAUUUGAGUAUUAAAUUUGAGUUUGAAGCUUGAAAACAAAUUGUUAUUCGCUUGUCUAGAACGACAUGAAGUUCCCCAUUCAGUAUAAUAUAUCUCAUUUUUAUUUCGUAUUUUUAUUAUUAUUUCCUCCCAUGACUCGAUGUGUUAGCAUUAGAUGUUGGAACACUUGUCUAGUUUAGAUAUUUGUAUUUUGAUUAAUUUAUUUAUUUUGGUGAGAUACUAGUCUCAAGAAUUCUUUAUGAAUAUCUGAAAAUUUAUGCAUUCUGUGCAUUUCCAAUCCAUUUUAAAUAAAUGGUUUUAUGUCCAUCAGAAAUAUGGCAAUUUUUUUUUAUUUUUUCAAAACUAUAUUUUCAUAUAGUGUAGAAUGUAAAUAAAAUUUGCUCCUUGAAUUCUCCACUUGUGUUUUUCUUUAAGCGGUCAUUUUCACCAUAUAUACAAUAAAAAUUAUUGUAACAUAGGUAUAUGGAAGAAAUUUGAUAUAAGGACCUGUACAGGAAUUGUGUAUGAAUAUUAAUUUAAAAUUUUUUAACGUCUUGUAAAAUUUGAAAGUAGAUUGUUGAAAAGUAGAAUACAAUAGCAAUUUGCAUGUUCAACGAAAGACUCUGCUUCUCUUUUGAGUUUUUUGGUUCUGGCCCACGAGUCUCAAUUUAAUUCCCGAACUGUUUGUGCUUCUUGUUGCUAUAGCUUCUGCAAUAUAUGUUAGUUCAUCGUGAAGAAAUUGAAACAAGGGGACAUAAUCAAUCAUAAUAAGCAUGAAAAUUAGCAUCCUGUCUAUGUUCCAACCAGACAAUUAACCCCAUUCUGUGAGCUCUGAUUGAACAGAAUGUUGCUUCUUCAAUUGUGCCAACAUUGAUGGAAAUACGUCUUUCCUAUACAAGUAAAUUGUUUUUGUCUCAUAUCAUCCAGUAGCUUAUUCAUAAUUUAAAUUCAAUUGCAGCAUCUUUAGAUUCUUCAUCACAGACAGGAAAUUCAAUUGGUGGGGAUUGGCAGGAGGAGAUUUUCCAAAAGGUACUCCAUUGAGAGAGUUGUCUUUUCCUGUCUAUAAUUUAAAUUUUAUUAUAUCAAUUUUCAGCUAGUAAUAGCCAUGUACUAACAUGUAAUCGUUAUUACCCUUUUGUUAACUUUUUAUGUUUUUCUUGGAAUCUGAAGUUAUAGUGUUUACUUGCAGAUCAGAUCCAUGAACGAUUUGUAUUUUCCUGAAUUAAAUGAAAUGUACCAGAAAAUGGCUGCUAGAUUACAACAGGUAAGAUAUCAGUUUAGAAGAAUAUUAUACUAUGGUUCAAUCAUUCUUUUGUGGCUGCCUUUUCCAUCUGCCUUUUUUUUUUUUUUUUUGUCAAUGUAUCCUGUCUUCAAUACCUUUUGAAUGAUUUAACUAACAAAGACAAACAAUGGCUGUCUUAAAAAAAUAAAAAAUAAAAUAAAUAAAUAGAGCUAGUUGGUUAGCCAACUACACGCUUUGCUUCGAAUAACCUAAACCUAACAAUGCCAUCCGAGUUCCCCUCUGAAAGGGACAAGUAUCUUUAGUGUUACCCCCCGCCAAACUCUUCUUGGGGAUGAAGUUAUGGAAUAUGUUAGUUAGUCCUAUAUAGUAAUAUUCUCACAUGAUAAUGUCCUCUGCUGAUUAAUUUUUUUUUAACAAUGCAUGUCUUACGGUGUUGCAGCAUGAUUCUGUUCCUCUACAGCCUAAGAACGAGCAACUUGAAAAACUCAAAUUUUUUAAGGCCAUGCUGGAACGCAUUAUUCAGUUUUUGCAGAUUCCAAAGAACGGAGUUCAACAGAUUCACAAGGAGAAGAUUGUUGGAGUUGAGAAGCAGAUUAACAAUAUUCUUAACUUGAAUAAGCCCAGGAAGUCUGUUUCUUCUGUGCAGCAGGGGCACCUUUCCCAGCCUCACUUGCAUGCUAUUCAACAAUCUCAGCAGCCACAAUCUCAAAUGCAUCCCCAUGAUAAUCAAAUGAAUUUGCAGACGCAACCUGUGAAUGUACAGGGUUCUAUGGCUGCUACGCAACAGAAUAACACAACCAACUUGCAGAAUAAUUCCUUAUCUUCCGUUUCUGGUGUUUCAAAUUCUCGCCAAAACAUAAUGGAUGGACUACAAUCUGGUUCAAAUAUGGAUCCAGGUCAGGGCAAACCAAACUCGCUUCAACAAGUAGCUAUGGGCUCUCUACAACAAAACCCUGUCAGUGGUCCGCAACAGGUGAACAUGAACUCGAUAUCAUCUCACAGUGGACUGACAUCAAUGCAGUCAAACCUUAAUCCUCUACAACCAAAUUCAAAUAUGCUUCCAACCCAGCAUGUAAAACAGGAGCAACAAAUGUUUCCAGCAACACAUCAGCAGAUGAAACAACAAAUUCAGCAUCGGCAGCAAUAUAAUAUGCAAAGACAGCAGUUCAUGCAACAGCAACAGCAGCAGCAGCAGCAAUCUGCCCAGUUGGCAGCAAAUCAAAUGUUACAGCUUCACCAGAUGAAUGAGACAAAUGAAAUGAAGAUGAGGCAGCAGAUGGGUCUCAAGUCAGGAGUUCUUCAGCAACAUCAUUCCUCUGGCCAGCGUUCAUCAUAUCACCAACCACUGAAGCCUGGAGCUCCGUUCUCUAUGUCCUCACCACAAGCCCUUCAGGCAGCAUCCCCUCAGGUUGGCCACCAUCUUUCCCCCCAAAUUGACCAGCAGAAUCUGCUGACAUCUCAUCCAAAGGCUGGAACCCCCUUGCAGUCUGCAAACUCCCCAAUCGUUGUUCCAUCUCCAUCAACUUCCAUGGCACAAUCAACCAUCCCAGGCGAGUCUGAUAAAAUUAACUCUGGUGUUGCAUCCCUGUCUAAUGCUGGAAAUAUUGGUCAUCAUCAAAUAGCUGGAGCAUCCAUCCCAGGGCAAUCCCUUGCUAUUGGCACUCCUGGGAUAUCCGCCUCACCUUUGCUUGCAGAAUUUACCAGUCCUGAUGGUUCUCAUGGAGCUGUGUCAACUAUUGUUCCUGGAAACUCAAAUGUUGUCGAACAACCACUUGAACGCUUAAUUAAAGUGGUUUGUAUGAAACUUUCAUGAUUAAUUACAUGGCAUACCAAUUAUUUAUAAAGCCUAUCUCCUUAAUAUAUAUUUGACUUAUAUCUUUUUUUCCCUCCUUUUAUCAGGUGAAGUCUAUGUCACCUAAAGCAUUGAGUUCCUCAAUUAGUGACAUCAGCUCCGUAGUUAAUAUGAUUGAUAGAAUCGCUGGAUCUGCUCCAGGAAAUGGAUCAAGAGCUGCGGUUGGUGAAGAUUUGGCUGCCAUGACCAAGUGUCGUUUGCAGGCCAGAAAUUUUUUCUCUCAAGAUGGAUCUAGUGGUACAAAGAGAAUGAGACGUUAUACAAGUGCAGUGCCAUCAAAUGUUGUUUCAUCUACUGGAAGUGUCGAUAGUUUCAAUCAGUUAAAUGGUACUGAAUCUGAUGGAGAGUCCAAUGGUGCAUCUAAUAUUAAAAGGCCUAGGAUUGAGGUACUUUCUACUAUUACUUUCUUUUUCUCAUUGAACAGAUCAAUAACCAAGUUCUAUAUUAUGGGGAAAAAAUAUGAAGAUAUAGAAAAUUCUAUUGCUCUUUUCUGUAUUAAUCUCGCACUUUAUCGUUGAUAAGAAAUUAUGCCAAGGGCAAUGCAAUCCAUGCAUGUUGGUGUAUUCUUGGGAAAUGGAGGUAACAGAAGGCCAACUAUGUGGUGCCUAACACCUGAGUUGAAAAAGAUGGCAAACACCAAGUUCCUCAAAAUAUCGAAUACUAUGAUAUAUGGUAAUCUGACUUUUGGGGAAGUAAGAAAUAAACUGUGUAAAGAUUCAAUUUAUGGAUUUAGGCACUUGAACGUGUUUAGGACAGUAUUGCCAACACCAUUGAAAUGUCGUCAAUUGACAUAUGGUCAGUACAGUGAAUGCAGGAGCAGCUCAUACAUUAAUCAAACACUUAAGUUAAUCUUAAGUUAAUUAUACAGUAUAUAAUUCUAGUAUGUUGGUUUACAUACUACAAGUAAAUUUCUGAUAAAUUUGAAUCUCUCUCGCUUAUAUAUGUUAAAAUUUUAGUUUUUCCAAUUUUGAUACGAAUUAAUUGUGAAAAUAUUUUAGCCAUGAGUUUUUACUACCAAAAUUGCCUAGAUGUAAAGCUUUUCACUACUCAUGUUCUUUUUGUGCUUCCAACUUGAAAAUCAUUAUAUACAUUCAAAGCUUGAUAUGUUUUAGAGGAAAUACAAAGGGGAAAAAAAUGCUUCCAUGCGACUGAAGGUAGAUAGCAAGGUAAGUUUGGGACAUGAAAGUGCUUUAGCUUAAUAUUCCCAAGGAAAAUGAUCAACCCCUACUGCUAAAGACAAUACUUUUCCAUAUUGUCACUUUUACUAACCAGAGCUUGGAAUAUAUAAAUUAGGCUCAAUAGCAAAAAACCUCCCUACCUAUUAGACGUUGUGCAGAAAAACCACUAUCCAUUAAAAAUAGCAAAAAAGGUCUCUAAAACCUUUAGGGAGAAUUACAACCUUUUAGGUAUGGAAAAUCCCUUACCGUCCAAUUUCGUUAGUUCAACCGUUAAAAAUAGUGAAAAUUUGCCAAAAUUAAAAAGGAAUGAUCGCAGUUGCAGUCUCAAACUUUUUAUUUUCUCUGCAAGUUAUACCCAAAUUUUUUAUACAUGCCACCCUACAAUCCCAAACAUUUAAAACAUUAUUUUUCCGUCACCCGAUCCCAUCCCAUCUCAUUCCAUUCCAUCUCAUUCCACCCCACUUCAUCUUCCUCUCCACCUUCAACCAUACCCAUAUAAUUCCACUACUUCACUCUGUUAACUAACAUAGGAGAAAUGUUGGUGCACCUUCUACUCAAAAACAGAAUGAAAUGUGUUCCACUUCGGACCAAACCAAACAAUCAUCCGACACAAUACCUUGUCACAAAUCCUCGCCAAUAACAUGAUUACCUCCCGGCAAUCCACCUUUAAAUCACCACUGCAAUCACCCCCACCAUCAAUGUUAAAAAUAAUCUUCGAUAAAAAGAGAGAAUCACAGCAAAAUCCAGAUCUUAUUAUUCCAUGUUCAAUAAAUAAUCUUCAGAAUUCUUUCUUUUUCUUCCCUUCUUUUUUGGUUUUCGAUUUGGUUUCUACUUUGCAACUUGGACAAUAUUGUGUUGGUGGAUGGUGGCUAAAGAUGAGAUAAAAUAGAAUUUCAGAUCUACUUGCAAUUGGUUCUCACAACUCACAUAGCCCCCGUUUAGACCCCUUUAAAACUCUUCAAUUUAAUUUAAUUUUUUCUCUCUCCUACUUUCAACUACACAAUCUUUAAUAAAAUAAUAUUACACUCAAAUCGAAAAUUUUUCAACCACACAAUUUCCAAAAAAAUACUAUUCCUCCCUAUUAUAAAUUCAAAUAAUGGGGGCCAAACAGGGAGAUAGAUUCUACAGCCAAGCUGUGCUGGCAAAAAUGGAGAGAGUCUUGAGUGUGAAGCUGAGAGAUAAGUGGUACAUAAAAAUGACGUAUAAAAUUGAGAGGGUGUUGAACACCCAUUUUAAUGGAAAAACGAAUUUUAGAAUAGUAGAUUGAUGGAGAAUGUGUGAAUCAAAAAUAAGGAAUUUUUUAUUUUUAUUUUUGUGUAAUAUUAUUUUAAUGAAGAAUGUGUGGUUAAAAAGAAGAGAGAGAAAAAUGUAUUUUGAUAAAAAGGGGAAUCAAACGGGGCGUGAAUGUUGAAAUUCCUGGUCUUUGUGUUGAUUCAGAAUAAGAGAGGGAUAAUGCAUAGGAAAAUGUGAUGAAUGAUCUGGAAGUAGAAAUAUAUGGGUAUGGUUGAAGGUGGAGAUGAAGUGAGGUGGGGGAGGAAAAUAAAGUUUUAAAGGUUUGGGAUUGUGGGUGGCACAUAUAAAAUUUUUUUGGGUAUAAUUUGCAAAAAAGUAAAAAGUUUGAGCAUGCAGCUGCAAUUAUUCCUUUUUAAUUUUGGCAAUUUUUACUAUUUUUAACGGUUUAACUAAUGGAAUUGGGCGGUAGGAGGGUUUUCCACACUUAAAAGGUUGUAUUUCUGCUAUUUUCAAUAGGUAGGAGGGUUUUCUGCACAACAUCUAAUAGGUAGGGGGAUUUUCUGAUUAAGCCUAUAAAUUAAAUGUGUGAAAAUUGAUAUUUUGUUAUGUUGAUCCUGAAUCAACUAUCUUAGGAAUGUUUUCCUCAGAAUUAAACCUUGGUGCUCUGAAUACUUUGCUGUUGGGUUAAAGAGAGAGAUGGUGAAGGAUUUUGUUUAAAUCAGAUUGAUUCUCUAACCACUUGUGAAAGGUUGGGAUUCUGGGCACGCCUGAGUUGGCUGAAAAGCACGACUAUUCUAUGAGAAGACUCGAAUUUUUCAAAGUAAAAGGUUUCCCAUGAAGCUUCUAGCAUCUCUCUGGUAUAUAUUGCAUUAUUGCUAUGGUCAGUGUGACUUUGUUGCUCAUUCUUCUCCCUUGUAUAUUUUCUUCAUAAGGUACCUGAAGGUGCAACACAGAUCAAAGCGGAAUUAAUUUGAGAUUACUUUUGGGUUAAGAAGAGAAGAAACUAGAGCAUAGGAUCAGAGAAACGCUCUGUACCAUGAAAACUGAUUUGGAGGAAUAAUAUAUUAUUGAUAUGGAUGAAGGAUUACAUCUGUGCACAGAGAGCAUGUUGAUUUACAGGACGAAUAGAAGAAACUAGAGCAUAGGAUCAGAGAAACGCUCUAUAGGAUUACAUCUGUGUACAGAGAGCAUGUUAAUUUACAGGACGAAGACCUGGACUGUACAAUACUUGACCUAAUCAAAUUUGGAAACGGAUUUAAUUCAGAGAUAACUAUGCCCAAUCUUGUGUCCUUAGCCCUCGUUUGAAGAACGUGUGGUUGAAAAGGAAUAAAAUUUUUGGGUUUAUAUGUAAUAUUAUUUUAUUUUGAGAAUGCGUGAUUGAUAAAAAGAUAGAAAAAUGGAUUAUAAUUUUAAUGGGGGCCAAACAGGGGCUUAGUAUAUUGUAACGCCCUUAUCAAAUUAUAGCAGAUCACUUUGAGAAUCUGACUUUUUCCAUCAUCACACUUGGGCAUGAUUGACAACCUUGAGCACGUUUAUGCAACAUAGCAGUUGCUGCUAAUAUCUAACAGCACAAGUAAAUUUUUUUUUACCCUCAAGCUUGUCAGCAAAAUGACGAAGAUUCUUGAAAUAUUGGAGAAACAGAAAUACCAAUAGACGAUAUGCAUAUUAAUCCUAGUAAUUUUAAACAUCUUUAAUACUAAAUACAAAUGAAAUGGGGAAAUCAAAGCUUUUGAUUUACAUUGAGGCUUCGAGAUCACUUGAUAUAAUUAUCUCUAGUUGUUUUCCUUUUCUAGGGUUAAAAAAAGAGAACUUCGUGGAUUGGAAUGAAAUACUACUAUAUCAGUGGUCUUGAUAGUUUCAUCUAUUCUUUUAUUUUUUAGUCAUUAUUAACAUCUCGUGGAUUUUGAUGAAUUGUUAUUUUGGAAAAUAGGAGAUCUGCUCUGCUUUUUUGUUUGGAGAUAGUUCAUUAUUCGUAUGUUAUUACCCAAACAUUGUAUCCAAAAAUGCAGGUGGCCCAUGUUGGACCUUAUUAAAAGUUAAGACAAGUAAUUUUUAUUUACUAUCAGAUCCUUGAGCUAUUCACUUCAAUGGUUAUUAUUAUAUAUGAUGCCAUAUCAUUGGUUGUAUAGGGUAUUCCUUCAUUGAUUUCAUGUACUGGCCUGCUGAUUUCAAUAAGGGAAUAAUUAUUCUAGUGCACUAUACGCAUUUUGAUUCAUUCUUUCCUAGUGUAAUUGACCACUGUUUGCAGGCUAACUACGCACUUGAAGAAGAAUUACGGGAGAUAAAUGAACGAUUAAUAGACACAGUGGUAUAUAUUAGUGAUGAAGACGUGGAUCCAACUGCAGUAGCUGCUACUGCCAAAGGUGGUGAUGGAACCAUUGUGAAGUGCUCUUUCAGCGCCGUGGCUCUUAGUCCAAAUUUAAAAUCACAAUAUGCUUCGGCACAAAUGGUGAGAUUUUGAACGCCAUCAUGUUAAUUCCACUUGUAACAUCUCUCUUCUGUACAAUGGUUUUGACUUUACUUUUUACUGGAAUGCAGUCCCCAAUUCAACCUUUAAGAGUACUUGUUCCCAACAAUUAUCCAAAUUGCUCGCCAAUACUUUUGGACAAGUUUCCAGUUGAAGUCAGGUGAGAAACACAGAAUUUCGCCCUUGCAUUCUGGUAAAUUUUAUAUUACUCUAAUUUUGUUAUUGUAGUUUGACCUUUUGAUUCCCACUUCUAGGGCUUCUCAGUGUACACAGAUAACACAAGGCGCUCUGCAAAAAGAGAGAAAAAUGCACAUAACCCAUAAAAACUUACACAGUAAAGUUCCAAAUAGAGAGAGAGAGACACAAAGAUAUUGGGAAUGAUAUCAGGGCCACAAUUUGGCAAGGGAUAACACAAUUCGAAAACUCUCAACUUGCUGACCCAUGAUACCUUAUUUUGUCCUCUGUCUAGUGAUAUGAAUAGUUACUAGAACAGUUAACCAAACCUUAAGACCCUGAUUGCCACACACAUUUCUCCAACAUCAAGCUGCAUUUCAGAUUGUAUGCUGGAAGAGUGGAUGGUGCAAAAUUGAAACCCUAGGGUUCGAAGAUACUAGGCUAUGUUGUAACUAGUCAUGUAUUUUUCUCCUCAGCAUCUCUGAACAUGCCGUACGAUUAUUGAAUCAUACUAGCGCCGUUAAUAGACUAGUAGAAUAACUCGUGAGGGUCAAUGUGCUGCUAACAGUCUGGUUGAAUUUCUUUGAACACGUGGUAGGAAUAGUGGACCGCUGAUAUUUACCUGCUGCCUUUUGAUCUAUCUUGAACGUGCUAUUCGUCUGUUGCCAGGGACUCACCUCACCUAUUUUGCAUUUAUGGUAGUUUUAUUCUUAUCAAUGUUGUGGGAAUAAUUGAAGAAAGGCAUUUGAGAUGAGAAGGUACCACAAAGCUUGACACAAAUUCGAAUUAGCAGCAUGUAAAGAGAGUAUUUAAUGCAUUUCCAUAAACAUUUCAAAUUGAAUUAUGUUAUCAAACAAGGAUCAAGGAAUUUGUUUCCCUUAAAUGUAUCUGUAUCCUCUCUAUUUCCUUCCACUUAUUUUGAAAUGCCUGAAUGCUUUCACAUCAGAGAGCAAAAUUUAAC
Molecule: long non-coding RNA, 39983 nt
Filed under: Olea europaea (common olive)
Lineage: Eukaryota; Viridiplantae; Streptophyta; Magnoliopsida; Lamiales; Oleaceae
Description: long non-coding RNA (OEUR_LNC001112)
Source: RNAcentral